RNAcentral lists this ribosomal RNA (253 nucleotides) under uncultured bacterium. RNAcentral's name for it is "partial 16S ribosomal RNA". It matches the Rfam family "Bacterial small subunit ribosomal RNA", at positions 524 to 776 of the family's 1533-position model. The record is from RNAcentral.
UACGUAGGGGGCAAGCGUUGUCCGGAUUUAUUGGGCGUAAAGAGCGUGUAGGCGGCCUGGAAGGUCAGCUGUGAAAACUCGAGGCUCAACCUCGAGACGUCGGUUGAAACCACCUGGCUAGAGUCCGGAAGAGGAGAGUGGAAUUCCCGGUGUAGCGGUGAAAUGCGCAGAUAUCGGGAAGAACACCCGUGGCGAAGGCAGUUCUCUGGGACGGUACUGACGCUGAGACGCGAAAGCGUGGGGAGCGAACAGG